This is a long non-coding RNA of Alosa alosa (allis shad), 772 nucleotides long. RefSeq lists it as uncharacterized. NCBI's taxonomy places the organism in Eukaryota, Metazoa, Chordata, Actinopteri, Clupeiformes, Clupeidae. The record is from RefSeq and is a predicted model, not a curated record. The transcript is spliced from 3 exons.
UCUGGAUUGGGUACGACAGCUGACGGUGAUAGAUAGCUGGGUCCAGGAUAGGCCUCCUGAGGAGUUAUGUGCUGGCCUGGGACAAGGAGCCAGGUGCCUCCUCCUCGGACCCUCCACCUGUCGCUAAAGUGCUUGAGCGCUGAGGUCGACUCUCCCUGUACUGCACGUACAGGGACGCCCCACCAGCAGUGGUCCCCUCUUCCUGUCUCUCCUCCUCUCAGCAACCACUUCAACAUUGACUUCCCCUCCACAAGGACCGGGACCUUGCCGUGGUGUGGAGGUUUCAUACAAACACCGGUCCACCCACCCUGCAACAACUCUUCUACAGGACAGUGACACUACGUUUCUUUAAAAAAAAAAAAAAAAAAACAUUCUAUGUCUGCUGUGAUGUGAUGUAUGUGGUUUAAAAAAAAAAAAACAUCCACACCACUGUGUUCUGCAUUCUGCAUCUCUACACUGAACACUUAUGCCGUGUGUCUGCUCUGAUGUUUUUAUUUUUUAUUAUUGUUUUGUAGUUUAAAAUAAACAAUCUAUAUGUAUAAUAUAUAGAAUAUAUAACACACUGUCAUGUCUAUGUGCUGUUAUGUUCUAUGCACUGACAAGUUGUAUAGACCUACUAUGUAACAUUUAGCCUAGGCCUACGUUUCAACAAGAACGCCCAGACCAAUACUGUUGACAGGAGCAUCAAUUAUCUAUUUCUACAGUAAGGAAUUUCCGUUGCCUACCAUAGGAGUUCAUCAAGUCUGAAGUAGCACGUCAAUGCAAAACAAUC